UGAUGGUAACACUUUUAGCCUGAGUGCAACUGUUGGGAAUGAAAAAUUUGUUCUGUCUGUACCGAUGAAGGAUGAGACUGAUUGUGCCUUCAUUCAAAAGAGAACUGCUGCUGAGCCAGAACUGUUGUUGAACCAGCGCAUUUACACCUGCGAUAAUGCAAAGUGUCCACAUCAUGAUUUUUGCCAUGGAUUUACAGACAGGAAUGCCAGAAACAGUCACCAGUACCUCUGCAAGUAUCAGAAUACAUUUCCUCAAUCUAUUGGUGCGCUGUCAGCUGAGAACUUCCCGGUGAAUGAGAACAAGCCCCCGGUUCUCUCUAUGUCGUCAACCGCUCAACCGACUCCAACUUCACUUGGUCCAAGCCUCAAUCCUAUUAGUGUCUCUGAUUUGGGUAUUCCUUCUGAUGGGCAAAAGUCAAUCAAUGAGUUGAUGGGUUUCUACGACAACAACAUUAGUGGUGACAAGAGCUUGACUCUAGGAAGUGCUUCCGUGUUGGAAGGUUCAAAUUCU
Molecule: long non-coding RNA, 511 nt
Filed under: Musa acuminata (dwarf banana)
Lineage: Eukaryota; Viridiplantae; Streptophyta; Magnoliopsida; Zingiberales; Musaceae
Description: long non-coding RNA (MACU_LNC006010)
Source: RNAcentral